Small nucleolar RNA from Spea bombifrons (plains spadefoot toad), 68 nucleotides. RefSeq annotates it as small nucleolar RNA SNORD82. Lineage: Eukaryota; Metazoa; Chordata; Amphibia; Anura; Pelobatidae. The transcript has a single exon. The record is from RefSeq and is a predicted model, not a curated record.
UGCACAGAUGAUGAAUCUCUUUGGGACUUAAUACUGAAUUCAGUGAUGUCUAAAUAAAACUGAUGUGC